This 289-nucleotide long non-coding RNA is filed under the name Mytilus galloprovincialis (Mediterranean mussel). The record is from RNAcentral. Lineage: Eukaryota; Metazoa; Mollusca; Bivalvia; Mytilida; Mytilidae.
ACUUAGGGAGCUACCAUUUGAUUUUUAUAGGGGGCUAGGAUGAAAUUUGAAAAAAUAGGCAGGACAGGAGUUUUGAGUAAAAAAAAAGGCAGGAUGAGACAAUUGCCAAAAAAAAAAAAAAAGUCAGGACGACAAUUUAGGUAAAAAAAAGUCAGGAUAAACUAAAAAACAAAAGCAGGACCAAACAGAGUGAAAAAUAAAAAGGCAGGACAGAGAUUACAGCUAAAAAAAAUGCAGGACAAAAUUUUUCAUCCUAGCCCCCCAUAAAAAUCAAAUGGUAGCUCCCUUA